CCUACGGGAGGCAGCAGUGAGGAAUAUUGGUCAAUGGACGAGAGUCUGAACCAGCCAAGUAGCGUGAAGGAUGACUGCCCUAUGGGUUGUAAACUUCUUUUAUAUGGGAAUAAAAUGUUCCACGUGUGGGAUUUUGUAUGUACCAUAUGAAUAAGGAUCGGCUAACUCCGUGCCAGCAGCCGCGGUAAUACGGAGGAUCCGAGCGUUAUCCGGAUUUUUUGGGUUUAAAGGGAGCGUAGGUGGAUUGUUAAGUCAGUUGUGAAAGUUUGCGGCUCAACCGUAAAAUUGCAGUUGAAACUGGCAGUCUUGAGUACAGUAGAGGUGGGCGGAAUUCGUGGUGUAGCGGUGAAAUGCUGAGAUAUCACGAAGAACUCCGAUUGCGAAGGCAGCUCACUGGACUGCAACUGACACUGAGGCUCGAAAGUGUGGGUAUCAAACAGGAUUAGAUACCCGAGUAGUC
Molecule: ribosomal RNA, 460 nt
Filed under: uncultured bacterium
Lineage: Bacteria
Description: partial 16S ribosomal RNA
Rfam family: Bacterial small subunit ribosomal RNA
Source: RNAcentral